Molecule: ribosomal RNA, 818 nt
Filed under: Nolanea atropapillata
Lineage: Eukaryota; Fungi; Basidiomycota; Agaricomycetes; Agaricales; Entolomataceae
Description: partial large subunit ribosomal RNA
Rfam family: Eukaryotic large subunit ribosomal RNA
Source: RNAcentral
GCGGGAAAAGCUCAAAUUUAAAAUCUGGUAGUCUUUGGCUGCCCGAGUUGUAAUCUAGAGAAGCGUUAUCCGCGCUGGGCCGUGUGUAAGUCUCCUGGAAUGGAGCGUCAUAGAGGGUGAGAAUCCCGUCUUUAACACGGACUACCAGGGCUUUGUGAUGCGCUCUCAAAGAGUCGAGUUGUUUGGGAAUGCAGCUCUAAAUGGGUGGUAAAUUCCAUCUAAAGCUAAAUAUUGGCGAGAGACCGAUAGCGAACAAGUACCGUGAGGGAAAGAUGAAAAGAACUUUGGAAAGAGAGUUAAACAGUACGUGAAAUUGUUGAAAGGGAAACGCUUGAAGUCAGUCGCGUUGGUUGGAGAUCAACCUUGCUUUUGCUUGGUGUAUUUUCUAAUUAACGGGUCAGCAUCAAUUUUGACCAGUGGAAAAAGAUUAGGGGAAUGUGGCAUCUUCGGAUGUGUUAUAGCCCUUGGUCAUAUACAUUGGUUGGGAUUGAGGAACUCAGCACGCCGCAAGGCCGGGUUUUACCACGUUCGUGCUUAGGAUGCUGGCAUAAUGGCUUUAAUCGACCCGUCUUGAAACACGGACCAAGGAGUCUAACAUGCCUGCGAGUGUUUGGGUGGAAAACCCAUGCGCGUAAUGAAAGUGAAAGUUGGGAUCCCUGUCGUGGGGAGCACCGACGCCCGGACCAGACCUUCUGUGACGGAUCCGCGGUAGAGCAUGUAUGUUGGGACCCGAAAGAUGGUGAACUAUGCCUGAAUAGGGUGAAGCCAGAGGAAACUCUGGUGGAGGCUCGUAGCGAUUCUGACGUGCAAAUCGAUCG